GGCGGCGUGCUUAACACAUGCAAGUCGAACGAUGAACCACUUCGGUGGGGAUUAGUGGCGAACGGGUGAGUAACACGUGGGCAAUCUGCCCUUCACUCUGGGACAAGCCCUGGAAACGGGGUCUAAUACCGGAUACAACCACUGACCGCAUGCGGCGGGUGGUGGAAAGCUCCGGCGGUGAAGGAUGAGCCCGCGGCCUAUCAGCUUGUUGGUGAGGUAAUGGCUCACCAAGGCGACGACGGGUAGCCGGCCUGAGAGGGCGACCGGCCACACUGGGACUGAGACACGGCCCAGACUCCUACGGGAGGCAGCAGUGGGGAAUAUUGCACAAUGGGCGAAAGCCUGAUGCAGCGACGCCGCGUGAGGGAUGACGGCCUUCGGGUUGUAAACCUCUUUCAGCAGGGAAGAAGCGAAAGUGACGGUACCUGCAGAAGAAGCGCCGGCUAACUACGUGCCAGCAGCCGCGGUAAUACGUAGGGCGCAAGCGUUGUCCGGAAUUAUUGGGCGUAAAGAGCUCGUAGGCGGCUUGUCGCGUCGGUUGUGAAAGCCCGGGGCUUAACCCCGGGUCUGCAGUCGAUACGGGCAGGCUAGAGUUCGGUAGGGGAGAUCGGAAUUCCUGGUGUAGCGGUGAAAUGCGCAGAUAUCAGGAGGAACACCGGUGGCGAAGGCGGAUCUCUGGGCCGAUACUGACGCUGAGGAGCGAAAGCGUGGGGAGCGAACAGGAUUAGAUACCCUGGUAGUCCACGCCGUAAACGGUGGGCACUAGGUGUGGGCGACAUUCCACGUCGUCCGUGCCGCAGCUAACGCAUUAAGUGCCCCGCCUGGGGAGUACGGCCGC
Molecule: ribosomal RNA, 838 nt
Filed under: Streptomyces sp. IM-8073
Lineage: Bacteria; Bacillati; Actinomycetota; Actinomycetes; Kitasatosporales; Streptomycetaceae
Description: bacterial SSU rRNA
Rfam family: Bacterial small subunit ribosomal RNA
Source: RNAcentral